This 484-nucleotide ribosomal RNA is filed under the name uncultured bacterium. RNAcentral's name for it is "partial 16S ribosomal RNA". It matches the Rfam family "Bacterial small subunit ribosomal RNA", at positions 30 to 507 of the family's 1533-position model. The record is from RNAcentral.
AUUGAACGCUGGCGGCAUGCCUAACACAUGCAAGUCGAGCGGUUGAAAGGAGCUUUCUCCUUUAUUCAGCGGCGGACGGAUGAGUAAUUCCUAGGAAUCUGCCUUGUAGUGUGGGAUAACGUCCGGAAACGGGCGCUAAUACCGCAUACGUCCUGAAUGAGUAAGAGGGGGAUCUUCGGACCUCACGCCAUUUGAUGAGCCUAGGUCGGAUUAUCUAGUUGGUGGGGUAAAGGCCUACCAAGGCGACGAUCUGUAACUGGUCUGAGAGGAUGAUCAGUCACACUGGAACUGGACCACGGUCCAGAAUCCUCCGGGAGGAAGCAGAGGGGAAUAUUGGAAAAUGGGCGAAAGCCGGAUGCAGCCAUGCCGCGUGUGUGAAGAAGUUCUUCGGAUUUUAAAGCACUUUAAGUUGGGAGGACGGGCAGUAAGUUAAUACCUUGAUGUUUUGACGUUACCAAAAGAAUAAGCACCGGCUAACUUCGUG